RNAcentral lists this long non-coding RNA (2765 nucleotides) under Oreochromis niloticus (Nile tilapia). Its description in RNAcentral is "lncRNA (ENSONIG00000037187.1)". Lineage: Eukaryota; Metazoa; Chordata; Actinopteri; Cichliformes; Cichlidae. The record is from RNAcentral.
AUGAGAUUAAGAAAAAAAAAAAGAAGAAGAAAAGAAAGAAAAACUCCAAAAGGAGGACAUGUUGUCUUUUCAGCCCCCAUUCCUCCCACAAGGAUACCGCAGCUGCGAUCCAGUCUUAAUCUGGGGAUAAACACGAUUAUCCUGCUAUGGCUUGUUCUUGGCUUUGUAACAGCGACAGGGGACCUUUCACAGCUCGCCUUUUUCCCAUGGUCGAGUGGGUCUGAGCAGCUAAGACCCCUGAUGUGGACCAGUCAUCGUUUAUCAGCUGUAGACUGGGGCAAGCAAUCAACCCCGCGCUGACUCUAAGGGAGCAAGAGACUGAAAAGAUGAGGACCAAAAUGGUACCAGAGUCAUCAAGCUGUAGAGGAUCAGGGGUCACUGUGAGGAAUCCCGUCUCCACUACUGGACUCAAAGUUUUCUCCCCACAUGCGAGCAGAGCUGCGCAAACAGAUCUCCCUUCAAGCUGAUUACAAAUAAAAUUGCUCUGCGAACAAAAAAAAAAAUUGUUCUCACACUCUUUGCAGAAGAUUCAUGCGUUUUCUUAUUUUAGAAAAUAAGCUAAAAGGUGUACAAAUGUGUGAAAUGAAUUUAAUUGCAAUGCCAUUUUAGUUUUUGUUUAUUUAUUUAAAUAUAAAUUUGUCCCGGAAAGCUAUUAGUAAAAUCAUAUUGUAUUCAGGUCUGUGUAUUUCAUCAUUUUUAAUGACUUGUUCAUAAAUUAACGCAAUAAACGUGUAAUGUAAACUUUCUUCACGUUAUAAUGUCGAUAGUGUAUUAAUACAUCUUUUUUAAGUUACCUUUUAAACUGGAUCUCAGCAAAGUGACUGAAACCUAUUUAUUUAAUAAAAAUGUAAUUAAAAACAGAAAUGAGAUGGCUCUGUAAUUAUUAUUAAAAUCACUGAGCUGAAAUCUUCACAAAGGCCGUUUCGGUCAGCACCUUGGACAGAGGUAGACUGCAACGAGCGCUCCACGCUUGGAGGGUGAAGAAUGAAAGACGACAAUUUAUUUUAUUUUAUUUUAUUUUAUGUUAGGUUUUUUUUUUUAAACAGGUGAAUUAUGACAAAUUUGAAACAAAGAUUGCAUGAUAUAUAUUCUACUACAAGCUUAAAAUUAGCUUCCUGCCCCUGCUGUUGAUUCGAUCGUGAUGUAAAACAGGUCAAAUAAAUUAAUUCAAUCCAGCUGUUGAUGACAGCGUAACGCAGACUUCAGCAUGUUGCCGUUCGUCUAAUUGCUGCUUUUCUGGAGAUCAAACUGACCCCAGUUCCCGAGAACUAGUCUGCUGCUGGACAGAGGGUCGUGCCCUUUUACUCUCCUGGGACACAACUUGACCCGACACAACCGGUCGGACACGUGUGCCUUCUUCGAUCCACGAUCCGACUUCAUGAUUAGUGAAGUUUGCGUCAUUCCUCCCAUGGCUCUUUCAGCGUGUAAAACUCCGAAUCACAGAUGCUGGUGUUACACCUGACCAACGCCUUAUUAAGUGAAAUCGUCAUCAUAAGAAAGAAAGAAAGCAUCGGUGUCCACCUGAUACCACUGAAUGGGAGCAUGUACGCUGUACACAUUUGCAGUGCACUUCUUUAUUUUGUAAGUCGUGCAAUGCCCGCUUCUUAAGUAUAAAUACACCUAAUUUUAAAUGCAGACAGCACUACCUUCAGUUCUCCUCCUUUCAUGUUGUGCACAGAGUAACAGUACAUUUAUGCUGCACUGUAUGCGUGAGUGAUGCGUGUGUGAGACCCAGAUGACCUGAGGAUGAGGGGCAGGCUGCAGGUGUUCUCUCUCAUGGCACUCAGUGUGUGUUCAUUCAUUCAUGCAUUCAUUCUGCUCAGAUAUUCUAGUAGUUGGCAGAUGUAGAUAGAUGGACAUGGUUUGUUUUUGUUAGAAGACACUGGAAAUCAUAUCACUAAAGCUGAGAAAUUAAUUUUCAUACCUUACUAUUGAGAAGAAAGCAAACAUUUAGAAGCUUUUAUUAUAUUUAUUAUGACAUUUCCAUCCAUUACACUGAUUUUAAACUAAAGUCUGGAUGAUAGGUGACAUUUUCACUCUUUCCAAUAGUUUAUCAGCAUUUUCACGGGAAGAGAGAUGUUUAAAGUGAACUUAGACAUAGUUGUCCUUCCUUACACAGCUGUGGUCCAGGCUUGUGUCUGUGGAGGGCUGCAGAUGAUUGUCCAGUCAUUUAUAUCUUCCAACUCAGUGAACUUUAGGUCUUGUUCCCCUCGUUUGCAUAAGAAUAAAAUCUGGUCCUGUGAAGUUCCCCAACCUAUUGACCCAGCUCCCCAGCAAUGAAUGGGACUGCUUUGAGGCUCCCCAGCCUCUCAAACAGGCUUUAACCAUGCUUUAAGUCCCAAUCAUGGUAAUUUAAUAUAUCUUAAGCCUCUGGCUGUUUUGCUGAAGCCCCUCUACAGUUUGUUUUAGGCAUUCUCUGCUUCUCCCCUCAUCAGUGAUACUCAGCAGCAAAUUUAAGGAGCUGCUGUGGUAUUACAAGUUCCCUAUUAGUAGCUAAAUAAGCCUUAGCGUCAAAUAAUUAGAAAAAGUAUUUUCUAUUGUUGUUCAGUCUUUUGAUUUUAAUAGAAGAGGGAAAUCGCACCACAUAGCUAAAGAACAGGGUGAUGAAAGAGUCUGACUAUUCAUUUAUCUCACUUAAAGUGUAAUAUCCUCAGUGGCCUGAAUUUUUGUCUUGUGGGAACAAAUAUACAUACACGAUCAAACCUAACUCUUAAUGCUAGUUUAAACUAAUUAAACUGUGUGGUGGAGGUCUUCAGUCAUGCAAU